GAGAGAGACAGAGAGAGAGAGAGACACAGGGAGAGAGACAGAGAGAGAGAGAGACACAGCGAGAGAGAGAGACAGAGAGAGACAGAGAGAGACAGAGAGAGAGAGAGAGAGAGAGACAGAGAGAGACAGAGAGAGACAGAGAGAGAGAGAGACACAGGGAGAGAGACACAGGGAGAGAGACAGUGGUAGUCUAGUGGUUAGAGUGUAGAGGAGGCAGGUAGCCUAGUGGUUAGAGUGUAGAGGCGGCAGGUAGCCUAGUGGUUAGAGUGUAGAGGAGGCAGGUAGCAUAGUGGUUAGAGUGUAGAGGAGGCAGGUAGCCUAGUGGUUAGAGUGUAGAGGAGGCAGGUAGACUAGUGGUUAGAGUGUAGUGGCGGCAGGUAGUCUAGUGGUUAGAGUGAAGGGGGGUAGUCUAGUGGUUAGAGUGUAGGGGCGGCAGGUAGUCUAGUGGUUAGAGUGUAGAGGGGGCAGAUAGUCUAGUGGUUAGAGUGUAGGGGUGGGGGCAGGUAGUCUAGUGGUUAGAGUGUAGAGGAGGCAGGGUAGUCUAGUGGUUAGAGUGUAGGGGUGGUAGGUAGUCUAGUGGUUAGAGUGUAGGGGAGUAGUCUAGUGGUUAGAGUGAAAUGGGAUACAGUACCUUCCUCUGUCCCCCAGACUGUACAGUCCCUUCCUCUGUCCCCCCCAGACUGUACAGUCCCUUCCUCUGUCCCCC
This is a long non-coding RNA of Oncorhynchus tshawytscha (Chinook salmon), 706 nucleotides long. Lineage: Eukaryota; Metazoa; Chordata; Actinopteri; Salmoniformes; Salmonidae. The record is from Ensembl.